CAGGGUAAAGCUGAUCUUCCCUGGGUAAGUCGGGGCCUAAGGCGAGGGCGAGAGCCGUAGUCGAUGGAUAACAGGUUGAAAUUCCUGUACUGCUUAUGGACAGAACUGUGGGGACGCAGAAGGAGAGCACGAGCCGGAAAUGGAAAAGCCGGUACAAGCGUAUAGCAGUCAUGCAGGCAAAACCGCAUGAAAAAUGUAAAGCGUUAUGUGGAUCGAACAUUAGUAGAGAAGCGUGUGAGCCAGCUGCCAAGAAAAGCCGCUAUUGCUUCAUAAGUACCCGUACCGUAAACCGACACAGGUGGAUGAGGAGAGAAUCCUAAGGCCGGCGGGAGAAGUGUUGUUAAGGAACUCGGCAAAAUGACUCCGUAACUUCGGGAGAAGGAGUGCCACAGAGAUGUGGCCGCAGAGAAAUGGCCCAAGCAACUGUUUAGCAAAAACACAGGUCUAUGCAAAACCGAAAGGUGAGGUAUAUGGGCUGACGCCUGCCCGGUGCUGGAAGGUUAAGAGGAGAGGUUAGAGCAAUCGAAGCUUUGAAUUUAAGCCCCAGUAAACGGCGGCCGUAACUAUAACGGUCCUAAGGUAGCGAAAUUCCUUGUCGGGUAAGUUCCGACCCGCACGAAAGGCGUAAUGAUUUGGGCACUGUCUCAACAACACACCCGGUGAAAUUGAAAUACCAGUGAAGAUGCUGGUUACCUGCGCCAGGACGGAAAGACCCCAUGGAGCUUUACUCCAGUUUGAUACUGGGAUUCGGUACUGUCUGUACAGGAUAGGUGGGAGGCUAGGAAAUGGUGACGCCAGUUGCCAUGGAGCCAACCUUGGGAUACCACCCUUACAGUACUGGGUUUCUAACCUGCAGCCGUGACCCGGCUGGGGGACGAUGUCUGACGGGGAGUUUGACUGGGGCGGUCGCCUCCGAAAGAGUAUCGGAGGCGCUCAAAGGUUCCCUCAGAACGGUUGGAAACCGUUCGAAGAGUGCAAAGGCAGAAGGGAGCUUGACUGCGACACCGACGGGUGGAGCAGAUACGAAAGUAGGACUUAGUGAUCCGGUGGUAUAAAGUGGGAUUGCCAUCGCUCAACGGAUAAAAGCUACCCUGGGAUAACAGGCUUAUCACUCCCAAGAGUUCACAUCGACGGAGUGGUUUGGCACCUCGAUGUCGGCUCAUCGCAUCCUGGAGCUGUAGCAGGUUCCAAGGGUUGGGCUGUUCGCCCAUUAAAGCGGUACGCGAGCUGGGUUCAGAACGUCGUGAGACAGUUCGGUCCCUAUCCGGCGUGGGCGUAGGAUAUUUGAGAGGAGCUGUCCUUAGUACGAGAGGACCGGGAUGGACAAACCUCUGGUGUAUCUGUUGUUUUACCAAAGGCAUGGCAGAGUAGCCAAGUUUGGCAGGGAUAAACGCUGAAGGCAUCUAAGCGUGAAGCCCCCCUCAAGAUAAGAUAUCCCAUCUUCGGAGUAAGACCCCUUGAAGACUACAAGGUUGAUAGGCUUCAGGUGUAAGUGUGGUAACGCACUCAGCUGAGAAGUACUAAUAGGUCGAGGACUUAUCAA
This 1543-nucleotide ribosomal RNA is filed under the name metagenome. Its description in RNAcentral is "bacterial LSU rRNA". It matches the Rfam family "Bacterial large subunit ribosomal RNA", at positions 1355 to 2925 of the family's 2925-position model. The record is from RNAcentral.